RNAcentral lists this non-coding RNA (98 nucleotides) under Thermoanaerobacterium saccharolyticum. RNAcentral's name for it is "Guanine sequence". It matches the Rfam family "Purine riboswitch aptamer". From Rfam's summary of the family: Riboswitches are metabolite binding domains within certain messenger RNAs that serve as precision sensors for their corresponding targets. Allosteric rearrangement of mRNA structure is mediated by ligand binding, and this results in modulation of gene expression. A class of riboswitches that selectively recognises guanine and becomes saturated at concentrations as low as 5 nM. The record is from RNAcentral. Lineage: Bacteria; Bacillati; Bacillota; Clostridia; Thermoanaerobacterales; Thermoanaerobacteraceae.
UUAAUAAUAAAAUCUUAUCCGCAUAUAAUCUGGUGAAUAGGCACUGGAGUAUCUACAAAGAGCCGUAACUCUUUACUAUGGGGAGUUAUUGUUGUACU